ACGACUAUAUCACGUAGAAAGACCGGUUCUCGUACGAUCACCGAAGUUAAGCAACCUCGAGUCUUGCCAGGAACUAGAUGGAUGACCUUUUGGGAAUGCUAGGUGCUGUAAG
This is a non-coding RNA of Acanthosepion pharaonis, 112 nucleotides long. Lineage: Eukaryota; Metazoa; Mollusca; Cephalopoda; Sepiida; Sepiidae. The record is from the annotation of a GenBank genome assembly.